UGGCCGUAAACGAUGUGGACUUGGUGUUGGAAUGGCUCCGAGCUGCUCCAGUGCCGAAGGGAAGCUGUUAAGUCCACCGCCUGGGAAGUACGGUCGCAAGACUGAAACUUAAAGGGAAUUGGCGGGGGAGCACAACAACGGGUGGAGCUUGCGGUUUAAUUGGAUUCAACGCCGGAAAUCUUACCGGGACCGACAGCAACAUGAAGGCCAGGCUGAAGACUUUGCCGGAUUAGCUGAGAGGAGGUGCAUGGCGUAGUCGUGU
Molecule: ribosomal RNA, 262 nt
Filed under: uncultured archaeon
Lineage: Archaea
Description: partial 16S ribosomal RNA
Rfam family: Archaeal small subunit ribosomal RNA
Source: RNAcentral